GACGAACGCUGGCGGCGUGCUUAACACAUGCAAGUCGAACGGAAAGGCCCUUCGGGGUACUCGAGUGGCGAACGGGUGAGUAACACGUGGGUGAUCUGCCCCGCACUCNGGGAUAAGCCUGGGAAACUGGGUCUAAUACCGGAUAGGACCACACACUNCAUGGUGNGUGGUGCAAAGCUUUUGCGGUGUGGGAUGNGCCCGCGGCCUAUCAGCUUGUUGGUGNGGUNANGGCCCACCAAGGCGACGACGGGUAGCCGGCCUGAGAGGGUGACCGGCCACACUGGGACUGAGAUACGGCCCAGACUCCUACGGGAGGCAGCAGUGGGGAAUAUUGCACAAUGGGCGCAAGCCUGAUGCAGCGACGCCGCGUGAGGGANGACGGCCUUCGGGUUGUAAACCUCUUUCAGNANNGACGAAGCGNAAGUGACGGUACNUNCAGAAGAAGGACCGGCCAACUACGUG
Molecule: ribosomal RNA, 462 nt
Filed under: uncultured bacterium
Lineage: Bacteria
Description: partial 16S ribosomal RNA
Rfam family: Bacterial small subunit ribosomal RNA
Source: RNAcentral